Molecule: long non-coding RNA, 5727 nt
Organism: Acipenser ruthenus (sterlet)
Lineage: Eukaryota; Metazoa; Chordata; Actinopteri; Acipenseriformes; Acipenseridae
Exons: 2
Source: RefSeq, a predicted model, not a curated record
GCACGCUCACAGGUCUGCAGUCUCUCAUCAGCGCUCUCCUCUCCUCUCUAACCCCUCUCUUGUCUCUCUCUCUCUCUCUUAGGUACCCCUCUAAUCACUUCGGCACGCUCACAGGUCUGCAGUCUCUCAUCAGCGUUCUCCUCUCCUCUCUAACCCCUCUCUCUUGUCUCUCUCUCUCUCUUAGGUACCCCUCUAAUCACUUCGGCACGCUCACAGGUCUGCAGUCUCUCAUCAGCGCUCUCCUCUCCUCUCUAACCCCUCUCUCUCUCCUCUCUCUCUCUCUCUUAGGUACCCCUCUAAUCACUUCGGCACGCUCACAGGUCUGCAGUCUCUCAUCAGCGCUCUCCUCUCCUCUCUAACCCCUCUCUCUUGUCUCUCUCUCUCUCUCUUAGGUACCCCUCUAAUCACUUCGGCACGCUCACAGGUCUGCAGUCUCUCAUCAGCGCUCUCCUCUCUCUCUCUCUCCUCUCUAACCCCCCUCUCUCUCUCUCUCUCUCUCUCUCUCUCUUAGGUACCCCUCUAAUCACUUCGGCACGCUCACAGGUCUGCAGUCUCUCAUCAGCGCUCUCUCUCUCCUCUCUAACCCCUCUCUCUUGUCUCUCUCUCUCUCUCAGGUACCCCUCUAAUCACUUCGGCACGCUCACAGGUCUGCAGUCUCUCAUCAGCGCUCUCCUCUCCUCUCCUCUCUCCUCUCUAACCCCUCUCCUCUCUCUCCUCUCUAACCCCUCUCUCUCUCUCUCUCUCUCUCUUAGGUACCCCUCUAAUCACUUCGGCACGCUCACAGGUCUGCAGUCUCUCAUCAGCACUCUCCUCUCCUCUCUAACCCCUCUCUUGUCUCUCUCUCUCUCUUAGGUACCCCUCUAAUCACUUCGGCACGCUCACAGGUCUGCAGUCUCUCAUCAGUGCUCUCUUCGCUCUGUUCCAGCAGCUGCUUUUCAUAGCCAUGGUGGGACCGCUGCACGGAGACCCUUUCUGGAUUAACCUCAGCCUCCUGCUCUUCUCAUUGGCCGGAUUCCUGUUGCCGGGAUACCUGUACUUUCACUGCAGAAACCUGGUCAAGGAAAUGCAAGCCAAGGACGGGACCAACCAAUCAGAAGAGGCUUUGAGGGGUCAUCAUAGCAACGGCCAACUGCCAAACAGUGACACCUAGUCAGGAACAUCGAGCCAAAGACUGACACUAACUAAUAAUAAUACUAAUAAUAAUAAUAAUAAUAAUACUAAUAAUAAUAAUAAUAAUAAUAAUAAUAAUAAUAAUAAUCUUUGUAAAUAUUUCUUGGGAAGUUUUAUCAAAUCUUUUUAAGGUUUGAAGAUGAAUUGAAAUCAAAUAUAUAUAUAUAUUUUUUAACAGAUCAAAUUUAAAAAAUAUUUCAGUAUUAUUAUUAUUAUUAUUAUUAUUAUUAUUAUUAUUAUUAUUAUUAUUAUUAUUAUUAAUUAGCUGGACUGUCAGCUAAUACUGCAUUUCAAACACAAAGACUACUUGAAAAGAAAAUAGUGUUUUUUAAACAGCUGCCUUUGAAUUGAAUGAAGCUGUCAAUCAAUCAAACUGAUCAGAAUUUCAAAAGCAAACGCAGGAAGCAAGUGGAGCAAAUGUUACAGGACUAGAAACAGAGACAGAGAGAGACAGAGACACACACACACCGAGACAGAGGGAGAGACACACACACACAGACACACAGACAGAGAGACACACAAACACAGACAGCCAGAGAGACAGACAGACAGAGACAGACACACAGAGAGACAGACAGACAGACACACACACACACACACAGAGUGAGAGACACACACAGAGAGAAACACACACACAGACAAACAGACACACACUACCGAGAGACACACAGAGACACAGACAGACACUACAGAGAGACAGACAGAGAGAGACACAAAGAGACAGACACAGAGGGAGACAGACAGACUGAGACACACAGACAAGCAGACAGACACACAGAGAGAGACAGAGAGACAGACAGGCAGACAGACACACAGACAGGCAGACAGACAGACAGACAGCUAGCUAAUUGCCCAGCCUCUCAUUCCUGUGCUUCUCCUUGCUCUGGGGGCUCCACAGUCCCACGCUGCGUCGACUGAAGGGAGGCUCAGGGGUUAGGGAUCAAAAUCAAAAAACAAACACUGAGGUCCAGAUUACUUUGAACUGUAUUAUAACAACAAGAAUAAUAAUAAUAAUAAUAAUAAUAAUAAUAAUAAUAAUAAUAAUAAUAAUAAUAAUAAUAAUAAUAAUAAUAAUAAUAAUAAUAAUAAUAAUUUUAUUUAUGUUUGCAUCGAAAAACCAAAAGAACAAAAUAAGGGCAUUUUCGAAGGUAUAGAAAAAAAGAAAUUAAAAGAAGGAGAAUGAUAAAAAUCAUUAAGUUCAGGGAGCUGCGUUGACGUAUAAAGUGAAGGGGCCACAAUUAUGAAGCCGGCUUUUCUGCUCUGGAGCCCUAAAUGUGUACCCUGUGCUGCGUGUGCGUGUGCGUGUGCGUGUGCGUGUCCUAGCCAAAACUUAAAACUGCCUCUGUCAGCUUCAAAUUAUUAUUAUUAUUAUUAUUAUUAUUAUUAUUAUUAUUAUUAUUAUUAUUAUUAUAUAUACCUCAGUUCUGAAAUGUCUAGCUGCUAUAGUCAGCAAUCUCCAAACACUGUGCUCUUGUGAAAUGAAAAAUCUGCAGUUUUAGCAUUUGGAAAUAGUUACAUGUUUCUGUAAGUAUUUAAGAACUUUGUAAAUAUAUAUCUAUCUAUCUAUCUAUCUAUCUAUCUAUCUAUCUAUCUAUCUAUCAAUCUAUCAAUCUAUCUAUCUAUCUAUCUAUCUCUAUCUCUCUAUCUCUCUAUCUCUAUCUAUCUAUCUCUAUCUCUCUCUAUCUCUCUAUCUCUCUAUCUAUCUCUAUCUCUCUAUCUAUCUAUCUAUCUAUCUAUCACAUAUCUCUCUAUCUAUCUAUCUAUCUAUCUCUCUAUCUCUAUCUCUCUAUCUAUCUCUAUCUAUCUAUCUAUCUAUCUAUCUAUCUAUCUAUCUAUCUAUCUAUAUCUCUAUCUCUCUAUCUCUAUCUCUCUAUCUAUCUCUAUCUAUCUCUCUAUCUCUAUCUAUCUAUCUAUCUAAAAAUAUUAAACUGUUUUUUUGGGGCUUUUUUGGAGCAUCAAUUCUAAGCUUUUAGCUUCAGUGUUUAAAAAAAAAAAAAGUCACACUGCCCCCUAGUGGAUGGAAGACGUAGUUCUUUAUUUCUCUCUCUCUGCUCAGUCAUUUUUUCCUUGUGCGUUUUCUCUUGAUAAAGACGUGUUAAACGCCCUGGAACUGUGGGCAGCCGUCUCUUUUGAGCAAAAGCUAUAUAUAUAUAUAUAUAUAUAUAUAUAUAUACCGCUUCCUGGCUUGUGACAUCACGGUAACCACACCCACUCGCCCCGUGCGCGUGCUGUGACGUCACGGUAACCACACCCACUCGGCCCGUGCGCGUGCUGUGACGUCACGGUAACCACACCCACUCACCCCGUGCGCGUGCUGUGACGUCACGGUAACCACACCCACUCGCCCCGUGCGCGUGCUGUGACGUCACGGUAACCACACCCAGUCGCCCCGUGCGCUUGCUGUGACGUCACGGUAACCACACCCAGUCGCCCCGUGCGCUUGCUGUGACGUCACGGUAACCACACCCACUCGCCCCGUGCGCUUGCUGUGACGUCACGGUAACCACACCCACUCGCCCCGUGCGCUUGCUGUGACGUCACGGUAGCCACACCCACUCGCCCCGUGCUGUGACGUCAUUGGCUGCUUCGUUCUCGGUGUGGCUCUGUUUAAACCUGCAGGCAUCGCGGGAUUCAGUCUGGGAGCCCCGUUUAUUAUCCGUCACUCUUCGUGUUGCAUUGUCUCGUUUCAUUUCUUCUGAAACUACAAACUGUAUAUUUAUAUGUUUAUAUAUAUUUAUAUAUACGCACAACACCAAAUUGCCUUAUAUUUUUUCAUUGCCAAAAUAACCAGCAAAUGAAUUGUAUUGUCACUUCCUGUUUAUCAAUUAUUAUUAUUAUUAUUAUUAUUAUUAUUAUUAUUAUUAUUAUUAUUAUUAUUAUUAUUAAUUAAUAAUCAAACAAACCAUUUCAAUUCCAUUUCUAAUUCCGUUUUAAAAUCAAUUCUCAUUUCCUUUAAAGGAACUAAAAUUCUGUCUCUCUGUGUCUCCGUCUCAGUCUGUGUGCCUCUCUCUGUAUGUCUCUCUGUGUCUGUCUGUCUCUUUCUCUGUGUCUGUGUGUCUCUUUCUCUCUGUCUCUCUCUGUCUGUGUGUCACUCUCUGUGUCUCUGUCUGUCUCUGUGUCUGUGUGUCACUCUCCGUGUCAUCACAAUAACUGCUGCGAUUGUUCAACCACGUUCAUUUCAAGACGAUUUUAAUUGACUGACAACCAGACAGACAGACAGACAGACAGACAGGCAGGCAGGCAGGCAGACAGACAGACAGACAGACAGACAGAUAGACAGCCAGACGGACAGACAGGCAGCCACGCAGACAGACAGACAGACAGACAGCCAGAAAGACAGACAGACAGGCAGACAGACAGACAGGCAGGCAGACAGACAGACAGGCAGCCAGGCAGACAGACAGACAGACAGACAGACAGACAGGCAGGCAGGCAGGCAGACAGACAGACAGAUAGACAGCCAGACAGACAGACAGGCAGCCAGACAAACAGACAGACAGAUAGACAGCCAGACGGACAGACAGGCAGCUACGCAGACAGACAGACAGCCAGAAAGACAGGCAGACAGACAGACAGACAGGCAGGCAGACAGACAGACAGACAGGCAGACAGACAGACAGACAGGCAGGCAGACAGACAGACAGGCAGGCAGGCAGGCAGGCAGACAGACAGACAGACAGACAGGCAGACAGGCAGGCAGACAGCCAGACAGACACUUCCUCAGUGUCAGUGAUUUGCUGGCGUUGCAGUGAGAGGCUCAUUUUAACAGAACGCCUCGGACUGCGAUGACGUGCUGGAAUCGAUUAGAAGGGGAAUUGGAAUUGGAAAUUGAUUUUAAAAACUCAGGAUUUCGAACCCGAGCCUGGCGUCAGCUGUAUUGCAUGUCUUUAACCAGCAGGUGCUUGUAAGUGAAUGGACUAUACGGGUCGGACGCAGACUUGCUCUGGAAGAGAUCAGUGUGUUUCUAGGUGCUAAAUAUAUUAGACUGUAUAAAUUCUCAACACUGAAAUGGAUAUGAAUUUCAAAAUCAUAUAGGAGCCUACAGCAGGCUCGCUGGUCCAGCGAUUAGAGAAAGGAGUCUCGAUACCAGGAGGUUCAAAUCCCGGCUGAGCCUCCGACUCCCUGUGUGUGUGUGUGACCCUGAGCAAGUCACUGAACCUCCUUGUGCUCCGUCCUUCAGGAUGAGACGUCAAACAAACGAGCUCCUAUUGGAAGUGACUCUGCAGCAGCCACUGACUCCCUGUGUGUGUGUGACCCUGAGCAAGUCACUGAACCUCCUUGUGCUCCGUCCUUCAGGAUGAGACGUCAAACAAACGAGCUCCUAUUGGAAGUGACUCUGCAGCAGCAGCAGCAGUUGUUGAUGAUGCAGAGUUCACCCCCCUAGUCUCUGGAAGUCACUUUGGAUAAAAGCGUCUGCUGAAGGACUCAUUCAUAAUAAUAAUAAUAAUGAAACUGAAGUGUUUGUUUCAUGAUUUCUGUGUGACGUUGUGAGCCGUGCUGGUUUGUGUUUUUUUGUUGUUGUAUUCAUUUCAAAACCAAUAAAAACCUUCUUCAAAA